AUACGGAGGAUCCGAGCGUUAUCCGGAUUUAUUGGGUUUAAAGGGUGCGUAGGUGGUUUGAUAAGUCAGCGGUGAAAGUUUGCAGCUUAACUGUAAAAAUGCCGUUGAAACUGUUGGACUUGAGUGUAAAUGAGGUAGGCGGAAUGCGUGGUGUAGCGGUGAAAUGCAUAGAUAUCACGCAGAACUCCGAUUGCGAAGGCAGCUUACUAAGCUACAACUGACACUGAAGCACGAAAGCGUGGGGAUCAAACAGGAUUAGAUACCCUGGUAGUCCACGCAGUAAACGAUGAUUACUAGCUGUUUGCGAUACACAGUAAGCGGCACAGCGAAAGCGUUAAGUAAUCCACCUGGGGAGUACGCCGGCAACGGUGAAACUCAAAUGAAUUGACGGGG
RNAcentral lists this ribosomal RNA (393 nucleotides) under uncultured bacterium. RNAcentral describes it as "partial 16S ribosomal RNA". It matches the Rfam family "Bacterial small subunit ribosomal RNA", at positions 523 to 918 of the family's 1533-position model. The record is from RNAcentral.